Molecule: unclassified non-coding RNA, 666 nt
Filed under: Hevea brasiliensis (rubber tree)
Lineage: Eukaryota; Viridiplantae; Streptophyta; Magnoliopsida; Malpighiales; Euphorbiaceae
Source: RNAcentral
AGUAAAUGCCGCCUCCUUCGCCCUCCUCUCUGCCUCAACCCUAGCAGCCAAAGCUGCUUUAGUCACAGUCCCAGCAGCGAUCUUGGCAGCCGCUAAUAAAACCUUAGCCGCCUUCAUAUCAAUAACCCUAGACUCCUCAUUACCCAAACCAACCUCUCUUCCCUUCUUAAGUGAAAAAAGAGGGGUAUUAGGGUUAACACAAAGGGGGCAAUGAUAAGGGUGAGGAGGGUUGACACCCACACAAGAAUUGUGAGAAUACGAAUAGCAUUUGGAACAAGAAACAAGGCCGUUUGAAGCCGCGUUAGGUGGAGGGGUAGGGUUAUAAACGAGCAAACAAGUGGGGCAAAACGAUUGAAUGUGGAGUCUGAGGACACAGUUGGUGCAAAGUCGACGGUAUAAUCCUCUGUGGCGGACGUUGUGGAGAAACCAUCUUUCCUCGACGUUACAGUUGCCGCAGGUGGUAGGGACGGGGAGAGGGGCGACGGUGGAGCUGUUGGGAAAGUUUUGUUUCGUCAUUUUUGAAAUCGGAACAUGAAACAGGGGAAAAGGAAGAGCAACUUCAUGUAUAAAGUGAGACAGAUUCUGAUAAUCCGGUUUUCUUUUUCUGCACAAGGAGAGUGAAAAAGGAAUCUCUGUGUUCUUGAAUUAGGGUUUUCUAUAUUGGGG